AUGAGAUGCAUGUGCUCAAAGUUAAGCCUGUACUCAAGUGCUUUGCUGGACCAGGGCCAGGAAGCUCAGCAUUCUACAGAACGAAGCUGCUUUUGGUUUUCAUGGUUAGCCAUGGUAAUACAGGAAAUACAGGACUACCCAAAUAAGAUAUGUCCACAUCUUAUGUGGCUUUGGAAAAAUUCUAAAGCCUGGAAGGAUGAAGAGAAAAUCCUGCUGGGAUCCAGCUCUGUUCCUUUUGGGCCAAAAUAAGUGAAAGUCUCAGAAGGCGUUGCUAUACUGUCACCUGGGGUGGUCUUAGGGUCAUUCAUGAUGUAGCACGGCAUGUCAUCCACAGGGCUGCUCAUGACAUUGCUCACAGGCAACAGAAUAUGGAUGCUGGAAGCUGCACAAUGGACACACUCUUCAGUGCAAAGAGCCUUAAGUCUGUGCUGGUGUAACUGAAAGCAAAACAGCCUAAAAUUCACUAUCUAAAUGGGCUCCUCUACGUUGCUAUGAAUAAUCUGUGUGUGUUUUCUCAGUGCUCUUAAUGCAUGGCCUUUUGAAACUGAUUUUAAAAUGUAACUGAAAGACUCUACAAUAAUAUUAUCUCUCAAGAGAACAAAGCCAGGGCAUUAAAGUUAAGCUGCUCAGUUCAUUUUUCUUCUAUAUCUGUUUUGGUCAGCACCUGAUUAGGACCUGAAAAAAAUUCUCUGAUUUUUCUUAUAUGAACAAUAUAACCAAAUCUCCCUCUAUUUCUGUCAAAGAAUUAGGUUAGCUGAAGACAAUGAAAGUUUUGAUUCAUUUAAAGAAAGCAAGAAUGGGUCUAAAUUAAUCCUUUUACUGCAGCAAAAUCUAUUCACACAGUGUAACCUUUUUCUCUCAAUCUCUCUUUUUUUUUUUUUUUUUUUUUUCUCCUAUGGUGCGCAGACAGGUGUAGAGUUAAAACAGAAAUGAGGUGUCAUGUGAGCUGUUGUUAUCCCAAGC
This 963-nucleotide long non-coding RNA is filed under the name Anas platyrhynchos platyrhynchos (common mallard). RNAcentral describes it as "lncRNA (ENSAPLG00000026625.1)". The record is from RNAcentral. Lineage: Eukaryota; Metazoa; Chordata; Aves; Anseriformes; Anatidae.